This 253-nucleotide ribosomal RNA is filed under the name uncultured archaeon. RNAcentral's name for it is "partial 16S ribosomal RNA". It matches the Rfam family "Archaeal small subunit ribosomal RNA", at positions 474 to 727 of the family's 1478-position model. The record is from RNAcentral.
AACCAGCACCUCAAGUGGUCAGGAUGAUUAUUGGGCCUAAAGCAUCCGUAGCCGGCUCUGUAAGUUUUCGGUUAAAUCUAUGCGCUCAAUGUAUGGGCUGCCGAAAAUACUGUAGAGAUAGGGAGUGGGAGAGGUAGACGGUACUCGGUAGGAAGGGGUAAAAUUCUUUGAUCUAUCGAUGACUACCUGUUGCGAAGGCGCCACACUAGAACGGAUCCGACGGUCAGGGACGAAGCCUAGGGGCACGAACCGG